This 394-nucleotide unclassified non-coding RNA is filed under the name soil metagenome. Its description in RNAcentral is "partial contains 5.8S ribosomal RNA, internal transcribed spacer 2, and large subunit ribosomal RNA". The stretch from base 1 to 122 matches the Rfam family "5.8S ribosomal RNA", at positions 35 to 154 of the family's 154-position model. The record is from RNAcentral.
GAUGAAGAACGUAGCGAAAUGCGAUACUUGGUGUGAAUUGCAGAAUCCCGUGAACCAUCGAGUCUUUGAACGCAAGUUGCGCCCGAAGCCAUCAGGUUGAGGGCACGUCUGCCUGGGCGUCACAUAUCGUUGCCCAAUGCCUAUUGCAGUGCAAUAGGAAUUUCUAGGGCGAAUGAUGGCUUCCCGUGAGCGUUGUUGCCUCGCGGUUGGUUGAAAAUCGAGUCCUUGGUAGGGUGUGCCAUGGUAGAUGGUGGUCGAGUUAGAACGAUACCGAUCAUGUGCAUGCUCCCCAAAAUAUGGCCUCUAUGACCCACACGCGUCUUUUGACGCUCAUGACGAGACCUCAGGUCAGGCGGGGCUACCAGCUGAAUUUAAGCAUAUCAUAAGCGGAGGA